RNAcentral lists this ribosomal RNA (847 nucleotides) under uncultured eukaryote. Its description in RNAcentral is "bacterial SSU rRNA". It matches the Rfam family "Eukaryotic small subunit ribosomal RNA", at positions 55 to 839 of the family's 1831-position model. The record is from RNAcentral.
AUGUCUCAGAGCUAGCUUAGUGUAGUAGCUCAUCUGCUCACGGCUCAUUAAAUCAGCUAUGAAUGUGUUGAGUGUUUGACUUCAUUGUUGUACAUGGAUACCUUUGUCAAACCCAGAGAUAAUACAUGCCCAUAUACUAUGAUGACUGCUGCGUUGUUCGCUUCGGUGGGCGGCGUGAGUGUGUUGUCAUACUUUCAUUUGGUUCAAAACCAAUUAUGUUUCUUACUCUUACCGGUGGGGGCAUAGUAUUAUUUUGUGGACUCUGGGUGACAUUAGGCUAUCGCAUGACUUCAUGUUGGCGAAACACUCGACCAAUGUCUGCCCUAUCAAUUGUCGACGGUAAGCUAGUUGCUUAUGAUGGUUGUAACGGGUGACGGGGAAUCUGUGUUCGAUUCCGGAGAAGGAGCCUGAGAGAUGGCUGCUACGGCUAAGGGUGGCAGCAGGCGCGUAACUUACCCAUUCUCGAAAUGGGGAGGUAGUGACAUGGUAUAUCGAACGUGGCCAAUUGGUCAACGUAUCGGAAUGAGAGAGGUGUUUAUCGCCUACUCCAGUACCAAGUGGAGGGCAAGUCUGGUGCCAGCAGCCGCGGUAAUUCCAGCUCCACUAGCAUAUAUUAAAGUUGUUGCAGUUAAAAAGCUCGUGGUUGAAUUCAGACUCACGGAUGUGGUGUGCAUCGCAAGGUGUGACACUCACUGAAGGAGUUUAUGGGCCGCGCACACCAGCAGUGCCCUUAACCGGGUGUUGUGGGUGGGCCGGCGAGUUUACUUUGAAUAAAUUAGAGUGCUCAACGCAGCCCUCUGGCUUGUAUAUGCUUGCAUAGAAUAAUGAAAUAGGACUUCGGUUCUAU